This 817-nucleotide ribosomal RNA is filed under the name Nocardia mexicana. Its description in RNAcentral is "bacterial SSU rRNA". It matches the Rfam family "Bacterial small subunit ribosomal RNA", at positions 52 to 884 of the family's 1533-position model. Lineage: Bacteria; Bacillati; Actinomycetota; Actinomycetes; Mycobacteriales; Nocardiaceae. The record is from RNAcentral.
CACAUGCAAGUCGAGCGGUAAGGCCCUUCGGGGUACACGAGCGGCGAACGGGUGAGUAACACGUGGGUGAUCUGCCUCGUACUCUGGGAUAAGCCUGGGAAACUGGGUCUAAUACCGGAUAUGACCACGUUUCGCAUGGGGUGUGGUGGAAAGAUUUAUCGGUGCGAGAUGGGCCCGCGGCCUAUCAGCUUGUUGGUGGGGUAACGGCCUACCAAGGCGACGACGGGUAGCCGACCUGAGAGGGUGAUCGGCCACACUGGGACUGAGACACGGCCCAGACUCCUACGGGAGGCAGCAGUGGGGAAUAUUGCACAAUGGGCGGAAGCCUGAUGCAGCGACGCCGCGUGCGGGAUGACGGCCUUCGGGUUGUAAACCGCUUUCGACAGGGACGAAGCGUGAGUGACGGUACCUGUAGAAGAAGCACCGGCCAACUACGUGCCAGCAGCCGCGGUAAUACGUAGGGUGCGAGCGUUGUCCGGAAUUACUGGGCGUAAAGAGCUUGUAGGCGGUCUGUCGCGUCGAUUGUGAAAUCUUGCAGCUCAACUGCAAGUCUGCAGUCGAUACGGGCAGACUAGAGUACUUCAGGGGAGACUGGAAUUCCUGGUGUAGCGGUGAAAUGCGCAGAUAUCAGGAGGAACACCGGUGGCGAAGGCGGGUCUCUGGGAAGUAACUGACGCUGAGAAGCGAAAGCGUGGGUAGCGAACAGGAUUAGAUACCCUGGUAGUCCACGCCGUAAACGGUGGGUACUAGGUGUGGGUUUCCUUCCACGGGAUCCGUGCCGUAGCUAACGCAUUAAGUACCCCGCCUGGGGAGUACG